UGGUAGUGAAUGGUGCUUCUGAUCGAUUUGGUUACUAAUGAAUCCAAUACUGAAUGCUUAAGUUAUAUUAACUUUAUAUUUUCAACACCCCCAAAUGAGAUGCUUAACAAAGCAAACACUGACAGGUUGCUUUACGUGUGGGUCAAACAGCCUUUUGUGUAGUCCCAACCCUAUCUCACGGCGAAUUCGUAAUAAUUCAAACGAUUUAACCAAGUGGCUAAAUCGUAUGAAAUCAUACGAGCUGGCUCGUACGAAAUCGUACGAUUAGUUCAUCGCAUGCAACACAGCCCUGUGUUGCAGGGAUUUCGUGCUAAUUAAUACGAAUAGAUUAAAUCGUACUAUACCAUACGAUUUUGUUCAUCGCAUUCAAGAAGCGUGACCCGUAGCCAGAAAAAACCUCUGGGUGUGCAUCUGAAAAUCUGCGUGUGUCACAUGCAGGCAAGAUGAGCAGAAACGCUGGGGACUUCAGGUGCUGUAAAUCCGGUGGGCAGGACUCAUCUCGUUAUAGAUCAAGAUAAUUUAUAAAGAUCUUUAAACGAAUUAUUGGAAUAUCAGAUAGUUGACAUGGUAAGCAAGUUAGUUAAUAUUUUAAUUAAAAAAAGGAAAAACGAAAUAAAACGAAUAGAAUACAUUAUUGUUGUUGCGGUGUGUCACGUGACAAUCAUGACCCGUAGCCAUGGACACAAGGGGUCAGAUAAAAUAUUUUUAACUUACGCGUGAAAGGGUUUAUUUUAAAAAAAAUAUAUAUAUAUAUUCUAAGUAAACAACAACAGCCCAAGUUUAGUAAAAAAAAAUAUUGAAACUAUAAAUAAAUAUUCUGCAUCAAUUUUAGGUGUGCUACUGUGGGUGGCUCCGGCACACCCGUGGCUACGCCCCUGCCGUGACCCAAAUCUCGUUCGCACAUCAUCGCGAUAUGUAUCAUCUGUUUACAAACGUCGCCACUCGCUUCGUAAGAUGGAAUUACUGGGCUUCUCUCCAAUGCUCUAUUACAACGCAGAGAGGCCAGCAUCGCUCCACAAAAGUUUUUGUUAAAAACGUCAACGUUCAGAGGCAUCACUCAGUACCAGUCAUGCAGAGACUUUAUGAGGCUGUUGUAAGAGAUUAGCCUAUCCCCUGUAUGUCACUGAUGCACUACUUCAAAGAUGUGAGGACAAGAACAUACACCUGCGAGUAGUCUUAGACAUUGCCUGUGUUGUUGCCUUACAUUUGCAGAAAUCAGGGGAGGGCAUACCACACAACAUCUCCUUAGACUUACCAGCAUUUCAUGUUUAUGGGCACAAAUUGCCCUGCCAGAUCAAGUACAGUACCAGAUGGCUUGAUGGGUUUGGGCUCACAGACGGGGAAGGAAUGGAAAGGCUGUGGUCUUUCCUCCAAAGAUUUGCCAGAGUCACAAAGGAGAUGACUCCAUCUCAUCGCCUUGACUUACUGACUGAUGCCCUUUUGCAUUAUGGACGGAGGAAAUCAACUGACCUAGAGGUGCAGCUCCUGCAAAGAGUAGACAAAGCAGAGAAAAUAUUGAUUCUCGCUCCUCAAGAAGAUAUUUCAUCUGUCAUCAGAUAGGUACCAGGUAAACAAUGCACAUAAGAAGCAGGUAACAAUUAGUUGUAGAUGGGAGAAUAUUACAUUCCAUUUAUAAGUGCAAUUUGCACAAGAGUAUUUAGGAUUGAUGUGUGUCUUGUUUUCUGUUAUUGUUGUUGUAUAGUGUUGAUUUCUGAAGGAGACAUGGAGAGAUGGAAAAAAGCUAGCCCAACAGAAACCAAUAAAUGGAAAAGGGACUACAUCAUCAGACUGAUUCAGUUCUACAAGUUCAAAUAUUAGAAUUGAGGACUCUGCUGAACAGUGAGAAAAAAUACCGUAUUGGGAGAAGAUGGCAAGAGUCUGAUUCAAACUUCCAGUCUACCCUUAAAGAUGUGGACCGUGAGCUCAGAGUCCAGCUGCAAGGCUAGAACUGAAUCAAGGGAGAGAGCAGUCCUCCUCCACCUGAGAAUAAUAUAUCCAGCUUUGCUUCAGAUGGGCAGGACAUUGCCAUUAGACUCUCCAAGCAGGUAGCGACAAUUGAUUUUCAGGAAUCAUAUGAUCCCUCUUGGCAUGUCUACUUCUGCUUUGAUGACACUAUUGAAGAAGAUGAUGUUUCGCGGAGUCUAAAAAAGCGAGGAAUUGAUGCCUUACAUAUGAAGACUCAUGCAAAAGCUGCUCUCAUUCAACGCUUCCAACAGCUGGAAAGAAAACUACAUCAAGCCAUUGUGAUGUUUCACCCACAUGUAUCAGACUUUGUUCCUGCAGACAACCCCCACUUGUGUCAGGCCCUCCCCAUGCCAAGCAUACAGACACUGGUAUACAAUGAUAAGAGUGAUAAUGAUGACAAUGUGGAUAAAUAUGAUAAAUAGCACUACAGAAUUUUUUUAAGUUUCUAGUCUUGAUAUUGUAUUCUGUAAAAAGAAUGAUGUAAAAUGUAUAGUAUAUGUUGCAGCAUAUCAUAGAAACCUUUAUGGUGGUUUAAUAUAAUGUUCGCCUUACUUGUGCAAACAUGAUGUUUUACUAGGUCUGAUUUAUUUUAAAGCGUAGGUACUGUUUUUAAGCACACAUAUUCACACUAGUCUGUGUGAGGAGAACAUUGUGUGUUUACCAUUGUGAUGUUACUUAUUUACUGUAAUGUACAAAUGUGGUCAAUGUGUGUAAGGUGUUUUGUUUUUGUGUGCUAAGUUGAAAUGACAAAGUAUUGAAUCUUGAAUCCUUUGAA
Molecule: long non-coding RNA, 2740 nt
Organism: Paramisgurnus dabryanus
Lineage: Eukaryota; Metazoa; Chordata; Actinopteri; Cypriniformes; Cobitidae
Source: RefSeq, a predicted model, not a curated record